AGCGAACGCUGGCGGCAGGCUUAACACAUGCAAGUCGAACGGUCCUUCGGGAUAGUGGCGGACGGGUGAGUAACACGUGGGAACGUACCCUUAGGUUCGGAACAACACAGGGAAACUUGUGCUAAUACCGGAUAAGCCCUUCGGGGGAAAGAUUUAUCGCCUUUGGAGCGGCCCGCGUCUGAUUAGCUUGUUGGUGAGGUAAUGGCUCACCAAGGCUACGAUCAGUAGCUGGUCUGAGAGGAUGGCCAGCCACACUGGGACUGACACACGGCCCAGACUCCUACGGGAGGCAGCAGUGGGGAAUCUUGCGCAAUGGGCGAAAGCCUGACGCAUCCAUGCCGCGUGGAUGAUGAAGAUCUUAGGAUUGUAAAAUCCUUUCACCGGGGACGAUAAUGACGGUACCCGGAUAAGAAGCCCCGGCUAACUUCGUGCCAGCCGCCGCGGUAA
This 447-nucleotide ribosomal RNA is filed under the name uncultured bacterium. RNAcentral describes it as "partial 16S ribosomal RNA". It matches the Rfam family "Bacterial small subunit ribosomal RNA", at positions 29 to 523 of the family's 1533-position model. The record is from RNAcentral.